ACAACAUUUACUUGUAUGAAAACUUAUAUCUGUAGAAACCAUGCAUUGCAGUGUAAUAUUAAUAGAACAUUAAAAAUUAUAUACCAGCACAUUCCAGUUAAAAUACAUUUCUGGAACCUUCUGUGCAGCAGCUGAAAGUUACAGAGUAAGUUAUGGCUUAUAUUAAUUUUUGGACUAUAUGUGAUUCAGGAGCCCACAUUACAUUACA
Pelobates cultripes (western spadefoot toad) is the source of this 208-nucleotide non-coding RNA. NCBI's taxonomy places the organism in Eukaryota, Metazoa, Chordata, Amphibia, Anura, Pelobatidae. The record is from the annotation of a GenBank genome assembly.